UAAUGCACUUCAGGGCGGGGUGAGAGUCCCCACCGGCGGUAAAGCCCGCGAACCGUAAGGUUGAUUCGGUUAGAUUCCGAAGCCGACAGUAUAGUCUGGAUGGAAGAAGGUAUUA
RNAcentral lists this non-coding RNA (115 nucleotides) under Clostridium sp. RNAcentral's name for it is "FMN sequence". It matches the Rfam family "FMN riboswitch aptamer (RFN element)". Rfam says of the family: The RFN element is a highly conserved domain that is found frequently in the 5'-untranslated regions of prokaryotic mRNAs that encode for flavin mononucleotide (FMN) biosynthesis and transport proteins. This element is a metabolite-dependent riboswitch that directly binds FMN in the absence of proteins. In Bacillus subtilis, the riboswitch most likely controls gene expression by causing premature transcription termination within the 5' untranslated region of the ribDEAHT operon and precluding access to the ribosome-binding site of ypaA mRNA. RNAcentral also lists the same sequence under 1 other name. The record is from RNAcentral. Lineage: Bacteria; Bacillati; Bacillota; Clostridia; Eubacteriales; Clostridiaceae.